This 253-nucleotide ribosomal RNA is filed under the name uncultured bacterium. RNAcentral describes it as "partial 16S ribosomal RNA". It matches the Rfam family "Bacterial small subunit ribosomal RNA", at positions 524 to 776 of the family's 1533-position model. The record is from RNAcentral.
UACAGAGGUCCCGAGCGUUGUUCGGAUUCACUGGGCGUAAAGGGUGCGUAGGCGGUGAGGAAAGUCGGAUGUGAAAUCUCCAAGCUCAACUUGGAAAUGGCAUUGGAAACUACCUUGCUGGAGGUUUGGAGGGGGGACUGGAAUACUUGGUGUAGCAGUGAAAUGCGUAGAUAUCAAGUGGAACACCAGUGGCGAAGGCGAGUCCCUGGACAACACCUGACACUGAGGCACGAAAGCUAGGGGAGCAAACAGG